AACGCUGGCGGCGUGCCUAAUACAUGCAAGUCGAACGGUCUUUCUAUGGAAGCUUGCUCCACUGAGAAGAUAGUGGCGAACGGGUGAGUAACACGUGGGUAACCUGCCCAUAAGAGGGGGGAUAACAUCCGGAAACGGGUGCUAAUACCGCAUAGUUUUCUUGAUCGCAUGAUCGGGAAAGGAAAGACGGCCUUUGUGCUGUCGCUUAUGGAUGGACCCGCGGCGUAUUAGUUAGUUGGUGAGGUAACGGCUCACCAAGACGAUGAUACGUAGCCGACCUGAGAGGGUGAUCGGCCACAUUGGGACUGAGACACGGCCCAAACUCCUACGGGAGGCAGCAGUAGGGAAUCUUCCGCAAUGGACGAAAGUCUGACGGAGCAACGCCGCGUGAGUGAAGUAAAAGGGUUUUCGGAUCGUAAAACUCUGUUGUCAGAGAAGAACAAGUUGGAGAGUAACUGCUCCAGCCUUGACGGUAUCUGACCAGAAAGCCACGGCUAACUACGUGCCAGCAGCGGC
This 516-nucleotide ribosomal RNA is filed under the name uncultured bacterium. RNAcentral describes it as "bacterial SSU rRNA". It matches the Rfam family "Bacterial small subunit ribosomal RNA", at positions 32 to 518 of the family's 1533-position model. The record is from RNAcentral.